Molecule: long non-coding RNA, 1441 nt
Organism: Dalotia coriaria
Lineage: Eukaryota; Metazoa; Arthropoda; Insecta; Coleoptera; Staphylinidae
Exons: 3
Source: RefSeq, a predicted model, not a curated record
UCCUGCAAAUAAUCCAACACAACAUAAACAACUUACAUCAAUCAGAUUAAUAUAGGCAACACAAUAAGCACACCACACAUACGAUGAUGCGAACGAAAUUGCAUAUAGUUACGUCAACUCGGACGUACAUCUAAUGUCACGUGAUUAUUAUUGGGCCAAAUUUAUGCCUUGAACGUCAAAGUAGUCGUAAAAUUCGCAGCCGUGUGACAUGUGACAAAGCGAAUGUGAUUUUUUUUUGCGCGCGAAUAUUCGCUAUUUUUACAUCAAUCAUCUCUCGCGAGAGAAAAGCAGGGCACACAUGGCGGCUGGCGGUUUUUACUUUUACUUGAUAUUGAAGAUAAUUAGUUUUUGGCAGCGGCGAAAAUUCGCCCGAAAGUUAAUUCAAGCCGUGACCGCGCUGCGCAAAAAUUCGCAAUAAAACUAAGCCAUGAAAUAUUUUAAAUAGGAACGUUUAGUCUUCGCAGAAAAAAAAAUUACUACCUCAACGAACCGAAACAAAUGUUGGGCACAUGUCGUACAUUUUACAUUUAGUGCGUUCGGCGUGUGUGAAGACCAAUAGAGGCCAAUUUGUUCGUCAUUAUUCAUGCUCGUAAAUCUAUUCGAUAAGGCCGCGUUUAACAAAUUGCUUUUUUAUUAUUAUCAACGCAUAUAAAAUCAAACUUGUUAUCAACAUUUGAGAAGUGAAAUUAAUGUCUAUUGCGAAAUGGUAUUGCGCAAAACGCAUCUUAUCUCGAAAUAUUAAUAAAUAUUACAUCACGCCGCACGACAGAGAAAAAUAACACAGAAUGUUGCAUUUGCAUUUCUUCAUUUUACGACCUGCAAAUGCAAACAAGUCACAUUUCAUACUGGUAUCAUGUUGCAUAGGUUGUGGUUUACCUGCAUGAGGAAUGUAGAUUCGUCUCCCUGAAGAGAUUGUAGCAGUCCUCGCAGAUGCGGUCCAACCGCGCGAAUAUGCUCUUGUCGUAGACGCCUUUGCACUGGAUGUCAAAGAACGACCGCUUGGUGAGAUGGUGCGUGAGCAGUGGUUGCGUCCGUUGUGUCGGACUGCCCGAAGUCAUCUGAAGAACCAAAGCGACAGCCAUGUAUGCCCACACUCCUUGAGUGCUUAUGCUCGUCGGUCUGUGAUGCAUCUGGAACAAGCACGAAGAUUUGUUUAAUAGUCACGCUUGGUUGAUGCCACUGGGCUAGUGCUCCUGCGCACUGAGCAUUAAUCGAGGUGUGUCCGCGCGACGCGCUGUCUCCCUAGUUCAGCCUUGGAUAUUGGACAUUUUUCAAUGCAAAGAACAAAGAAAUCGCCGCGUUAUAUAACCAGUGCGAUCACGAUGAACAAAAUAGCGAAUUUCAGGGGUUUCCCGAUUUCCCGCCUCAGUUACAGAAGGUAAUCGGCGUAAUUAUUGCAUUGAUUCAUGUUUUCUAUAAAUAAAAGUCAUUACAUCGGUAA